AUGAGGGCGUCAAGCUGGCCGCCGGGUUCAGCCUCGCCGACCUGUUCCCAUCGUCGCGCCUCGCACGUGUAUUUAGUGGCUCGACGCGAGAUAGGCCAGGUCAUAGACCGCAUCAUCGAGGACCAUCGCACGAGGUGGUCGGCCGGUGCCAGCGAUGAAGACCUCGUGGACGUGCUGCUGAGGGUCCAGAAUGACGGCAGCCUCCACGUGCCUCUUGACGUUGGAAACAUCCGUGCCGUGAUUACCGAUAUGUUUUCGGGGGGAAGCGAGACCUCGGUGACAACACUCCAGUGGGCGAUGGCGGAGCUCAUGCGAAGCCCGGCGGUGAGAGUUGCAUCGGUGAGGAGGCCCUGCAGGAGCUGCGAUAUUUGCAUCUAG
RNAcentral lists this ribosomal RNA (378 nucleotides) under Triticum aestivum (bread wheat). RNAcentral's name for it is "partial small subunit ribosomal RNA". Lineage: Eukaryota; Viridiplantae; Streptophyta; Magnoliopsida; Poales; Poaceae. The record is from RNAcentral.